This 77-nucleotide transfer RNA is filed under the name Lentimicrobiaceae bacterium. RNAcentral's name for it is "tRNA-Met". It matches the Rfam family "tRNA". Rfam says of the family: Transfer RNA (tRNA) molecules are approximately 80 nucleotides in length. Lineage: Bacteria; Pseudomonadati; Bacteroidota; Bacteroidia; Bacteroidales; Lentimicrobiaceae. The record is from RNAcentral.
UGCGGGGUAGAGCAGUCCGGUAGCUCGUCGGGCUCAUAACCCGGAGGUCGCAGGUUCAAAUCCUGUCCCCGCUACAA